GGAAUAUUGGGCAAUGGAGGAAACUCUGACCCAGCGACGCCGCGUGCGGGAUGAAGGCCUUCGGGUUGUAAACCGCUUUCAGUAGGGAAGAAGCGAUAGUGACGGUACCUACAAAAGAAGCACCGGCUAACUAUGUGCCAGCAGCCGCGGUAAUACAUAGGGUGCAAGCGUUGUCCGGAAUUAUUGGGCGUAAAGAGCUCGUAGGUCGUUUGUUACGUCGGAUGUGAAAACCUGAGGCUCAACCUCAGGCCUGCAUUCGAUACGGGCAAACUAGAGUUUGGUAGGGGAGACUGGAAUUCCUGGUGUAGCGGUGGAAUGCGCAGAUAUCAGGAGGAACACCAAUGGCGAAGGCAGGUCUCUGGGCCAAUACUGACACUGAGGAGCGAAAGUCUGGGGAGCGAACAGGAUUAGAUACCCUGGUAGUCCAGACCGUAAACGGUGGGCACUAGUUGUGGGAACCUUCCACGGUUUCUGCGACGCAGCUAACGCAUUAAGUGCCCCGCCUGGGGAGUACGAUCGCAAGAUUAAAACUCAAAUGAAUUGACGG
RNAcentral lists this ribosomal RNA (547 nucleotides) under uncultured bacterium. RNAcentral describes it as "bacterial SSU rRNA". It matches the Rfam family "Bacterial small subunit ribosomal RNA", at positions 358 to 916 of the family's 1533-position model. The record is from RNAcentral.